AUGAACGCUGGCUGCGUGCUUAACACAUGCAAGUCGAACGAUGAUGGGAGCUUGCUCCUGGAUUAGUGGCGAACGGGUGAGUAACACGUGAGUAACCUGCCCUUAACUCUGGGAUAAGCCUGGGAAACUGGGUCUAAUACCGGAUAUGACUCCUCAUCGCAUGGUGGGGGGUGGAAAGCUUUAUUGUGGUUUUGGAUGGACUCGCGGCCUAUCAGCUUGUUGGUGAGGUAAUGGCUUACCAAGGCGACGACGGGUAGCCGGCCUGAGAGGGUGACCGGCCACACUGGGACUGAGACACGGCCCAGACUCCUACGGGAGGCAGCAGUGGGGAAUAUUGCACAAUGGGCGCAAGCCUGAUGCAGCGACGCCGCGUGAGGGAUGACGGCCUUCGGGUUGUAAACCUCUUUCAGUAGGGAAGAAGCGAAAGUGACGGUACCUGCAGAAGAAGCGCCGGCUAACUACGUGCCAGCAGCCGCGGUAAUACGUAGGGCGCAAGCGUUAUCCGGAAUUAUUGGGCGUAAAGAGCUCGUAGGCGGUUUGUCGCGUCUGCCGUGAAAGUCCGGGGCUCAACUCCGGAUCUGCGGUGGGUACGGGCAGACUAGAGUGAUGUAGGGGAGACUGGAAUUC
This 627-nucleotide ribosomal RNA is filed under the name uncultured Actinomycetes bacterium. RNAcentral describes it as "bacterial SSU rRNA". It matches the Rfam family "Bacterial small subunit ribosomal RNA", at positions 29 to 669 of the family's 1533-position model. The record is from RNAcentral. Lineage: Bacteria; Bacillati; Actinomycetota; Actinomycetes.